GGGCCCGUGGUCUAGUGGCUAUGACAUCCGCCUGACUAGAGUUAGCUCAGAACGCGGGGGAUCCCCGGUUCAAUUCCGGGCGGGCCCA
This 88-nucleotide transfer RNA is filed under the name Candidatus Cloacimonadota bacterium. RNAcentral describes it as "tRNA-OTHER". It matches the Rfam family "tRNA". Rfam says of the family: Transfer RNA (tRNA) molecules are approximately 80 nucleotides in length. Their secondary structure includes four short double-helical elements and three loops (D, anti-codon, and T loops). Lineage: Bacteria; Pseudomonadati; Candidatus Cloacimonadota. The record is from RNAcentral.